This 952-nucleotide ribosomal RNA is filed under the name Helvella sp. QZ-2017e. Its description in RNAcentral is "eukaryotic LSU rRNA". It matches the Rfam family "Eukaryotic large subunit ribosomal RNA", at positions 24 to 980 of the family's 3401-position model. Lineage: Eukaryota; Fungi; Ascomycota; Pezizomycetes; Pezizales; Helvellaceae. The record is from RNAcentral.
UUAGUACCCCGCUGAACUUAAGCAUAUCAAUAAGCGGAGGAAAAGAAACCCAACAGGGAUGCCACAGUAACGGCGAGUGAAGCGGCAGCAGCUCAAAUUUGAAAUCUGGGGUCCCCGGCCCCCGAGUUGUAAUUUGGAGAGGCAUCUCCGGGGGGGAGCGCCGGCCAAUGUUCCUUGGGACAGGACGUCACAGAGGGUGAGAAUCCCGUGCCUGGCCGGCUGCCUCCUCCCGCGUGGAGGGCCUUCGACGAGUCGAGUUGUUUGGGAAUGCAGCUCCAAGCGGGUGGUAAAUUUCAUCUAAAGCUAAAUACCGGCGGGAGACCGAUAGCGCACAAGUAGAGUGAUCGAAAGAUGAAAAGCACUUUGAAAAUAGAGUCAAAAAGUACGUGAAAUUGUUGAGAGGGAAGCGCUUGAGACCAGACUCGGGCCCGGGCAAACAUCGCGCCCCUCGGGGCCGUGCAAUUGCCUGGGCCUGGGCCAGCAUCAGUUGGCGUGGCGGGACAAAGGCGCGGGGAAUGUGGCUCCCCUCGGGGAGUGUUAUUAGGCCCGCGCUCAAUGCCGCCGACGUCGACUGAGGACCGCGCCCCGGCUAGGAUGCUGGCUUAAUGGCCUUCAGCGACCCGUCUUGAAACACGGACCAAGGAGUCUAACAUCUAUGCGAGUGUUUGGGCGACAAACCCUUGCGCGGAAUGAAAGUGAGCGGAGGUGGGAACCCCCCCGCGGGGCGCACCAUCGACCGAUCCUGAUGUCUUCGGAUGGAUUUGAGUAGGAGCAUAGCUGUUGGGACCCGAAAGAUGGUGAACUAUGCCUGAAUAGGGUGAAGCCAGAGGAAACUCUGGUGGAGGCUCGCAGCGGUUCUGACGUGCAAAUCGAUCGUCAAAUUUGGGUAUAGGGGCGAAAGACUAAUCGAACCAUCUAGUAGCUGGUUCCUGCCGAAUUCCCCCUUCAGGAA